CCCUUAGAUGUUCUGGGCCGCACGCGCGCUACACUGAUACAUGCAACGAGUUUAUAACCUUGAUCUGACGGUCUGGGUAAUCUUCAAACUGCAUCGUGUUAGGGAUCGAUUCUUGCAAUUUUUAAUCGUAAACGAGGAAUUCCUAGUAAACGCAAGUCAUCAGCUUGCAUUGAUUACGUCCCUGCCCUUUGUACACACCGCCCGUCGACUCUACCGAUUGAAUGGUUCGGUGAAAACUUUGGACUGUGGCAUUGUCCUUCAUUGGACUUCGCCGUAGGAAAUUGUUUAAACCUCAUCAUUUAGAGGAAGAAUAAGUCGUAACA
This 323-nucleotide ribosomal RNA is filed under the name uncultured eukaryote. RNAcentral's name for it is "partial 18S ribosomal RNA". It matches the Rfam family "Eukaryotic small subunit ribosomal RNA", at positions 1470 to 1796 of the family's 1831-position model. The record is from RNAcentral.